This is a long non-coding RNA of Amphiprion ocellaris (clown anemonefish), 5056 nucleotides long. RefSeq lists it as uncharacterized. Lineage: Eukaryota; Metazoa; Chordata; Actinopteri; Pomacentridae. The record is from RefSeq and is a predicted model, not a curated record. The transcript is spliced from 2 exons.
CACAUAUAACACUUGCCCACAGACAUAGUAGACGGUAGUGAUUUCAGCAGAGCUUAAAACUCAUUCAGUGUAACAAAGACUUGAAGCUGAAGUUUAGAUGGUAAUUUAUUCCAAGCAUUAAGUGCAGAAAACCUAAAUGCUUUCUUGCAUUCAGAGCAAACUUUGGGGAUGAUGAAUUGCAGAGUAUCCAUAGAUCUGAGAUUGUAACUUCCAUGUUUCCUUGUUAAAAGACAAGACAAAUAGGAAGGAAUAAUAUCCAGAAUGGUUCUGUAAAUAAACACCAAUGACUGAGACAUCAGGCACUGAACAGAAAAAUGGAGGUUCCUCCAAUUUCCUGUUCACUUCCAUUGGAGACUCUUAAUUCAGCUCUUCUGUCUUGGGUUUUCUGAAUUGUGUUUCAUUUGCCAGUUGUUUUUUUUUUCUAAAUGUUGCUUUCCCCGUCAUGUCUGUACACCAGUGAAACCAGUAACCCGUCCCCCUUCACUUUCAACCUCCGGCCAUGACUGUGGCGGCCAGAUGUUAGGAAGUCUUUGAACCGGCAGUUCUGGCAGGAGGAGGAGGAGGAUGAGGCCACUUUCCCAACCCUCCUGAGGAAUAAGAAGCCGAGCCACGCCUCAUGACUGGGGAGAGAGCUGCAACAUGCCUUUUUAAUUAGACUGACAGGGAUGGAGGGUUUAAUGAAUGCGGAGCCACGCCUUUAUGGCCAGAUAGACCCAGAUGGUGUUUUGCUCCCUGAAGAUGAGGUGUGGCGACUCUUGGGAAGACGCUGCAUCAGAUCCACUCCCAGCUGCUGCACAUUUGUGAAGGAUAAAACCGUAGAAAUGCCUCCGAGGCAAUGAAACAAACAGCAGAGAGCAACGCAACAGAAAUACUGAAUGCUUAUCAAUCAGAUUUUGCCAUUCCUGAGCUGACAUGCAGCGCAGUUCCAACAUGUUCGAGUCGUAGAGGUUAUAUCACAGUUUCACCAGUGCUUGGACUGAAAUGAAAAUAUGUGUGAACUAGAAGCUGCAGGACAGACUGGGUCUUGUCAAAGUGUUUCUGAAGCAAAUGACAUCUGUCACAAGCAGCUGUUUGUGUUUUUGUCUCGGUGUGGAUUAAACGGAUGGAGGCUUUUGUAAGACUUGACUGCUGUGUCUGGUCUGAAGUUUGGGUGUAAGUAAAUACUAAAUAGAGUACAGAAUCGUGUUGUUGCUGCUGACAUGAUCUUGUUUAUGGCUGUAAUUUGGAUUUCUUGUUGGGCAGCGGCAUCACAUUUCCCAGGUCAGCAGUGUUCAUAGUUCUGGUGUAGUGAUUCAGUUCAGGUGUGUUUAUAUAGCGCCAGUUCACAACACAUGGUCCGGUCGAGGCAGAUGGCCGCCUUCCCUGAGCCUGGUUCUGUCAGAGCUUUUCUUUUUUCUUCACCGUUAAAGGUGAGUAAAGGAAAAAUGGCACUUUUUUUUCGACAUAGUAUACUAUGACAAAGGCAGUCUGUUGAUGCAAAGGAAACUAUGGCUUCCUUCCCAACAUUCAACUGUACACACUACAACUCACACAUAAGCACAAAUGUGUCACAUACGACAUAGGGAUGUCAUAUGCAUUACAUCCUUUGAAAGCUAAAGUUUACUGAGGGCCAGGUCAGGAACAGACUGCAACAGAUAGUAAGCGCUGUGGUUGACUUUGCUGCUCAUUUACAGUUGUACUGCUAUUCUGACAGAGGACAGUCCAGUUAGCUUUCUAGAAAACGCAACAAACAAACAAAGAAGCAAAUUAUUACCAAUUUCCAUCUACUAGUGCUGUCUAGUUGUUAGGAUGUUCUGCUCCUCUGCAACAUUUUCCACCUCUUCUGGACGGGUCCCAAUGUGUUGCAAGGCCAGAUGAGGUACGUCAGCAUUUAGAAAACGGGCAAAAUGUGCCAGUGAAAUCUCUUUAAUUCAGUGGAAUCACCAUAAUCAGUGGGUUCACAGGUGUUGGUGAAUUUUAACAAAAAAAAUGCCUGUGUGAGCUCGCUGCCUGUUAGCCACAGAGCUAACUAGUUUUAACUAUUUAUUUUUUACUCCCACAAAUAAUCUUGAAAAAGGAGACUAGUUCAAACCAAAGAAGGUUGGGGAGUUUUUACAGCUGACUACUGUUAUAUAUGAGCUCACCAUAGACUGAACUGAGACAUGAACUACCUGUGUGUUCCUGGGCCAGAUGAGAUAGGUAGCACCAGCAUUGAAAACGGCAAAAUGUGUCUGUUAGCCAGAGCAAACCAGUUUCUGUUUUCUUUUAACUCCAUAAAUAUUCUUGAAAAAGGAGCCUGGUACAAAACAAAAGAUGUUCCGAGGCCAGAUGAGAUACAUGACGCUAGCAUUUAAAAUGGCAAAAUGUGGAAAUGAAAUCAGUUUAAUUCAAUGGAAUCACCAUGAUCAGUGGGUUCACAGGUGUUGGUGAGGUAAAGUCACAAAAAAUGGCAAAUUCAAUGUGAGUUAUGUUCAACUGUGGUAAAUUUUUAUUUUUUUUUAACAUAGACUGUGUGAACUUGCUGCCUGUUAGCAAAAGAGCUAACCAGUUUCAGCUUUUUUGUUUGUUUUGUUUUUAAAUCCCCAUGAAUAAUCUUGAGAAAGGAGCCUGGUACAAAACAAAAUGUCACCAGGCUUGUACUACCUCCCUUUGGCAGAUAGAUUUCACUGUGCCAGACACUAACGUUCAUUCAUGAUGAUUUUUUUUUCAAAGAAAACCUUUCUGGAGUGUUUUCCACGCCCUCCUUUGCAUUAUUUUAUCAUGUGACAGGUUUUUACAACACGUUCGAAAAAUCGCAUUUUUUUUUCGACAUAGUAUAGUAAGGCGUUUUUUUGCGCCAAAAUUCAUGAUGAUUUUUUUCGAACAAAACCUUUCUGGAGUGUUUUUCACGCCCUCCUUUACAUUAUUUCAUCAUAUGACAGGUUUUUACAGCAUGUUCGAAAAAUCGCAUGUUUUUUCGACAUAGUAUAGUAAGGCGUUUUUUUGGCGCCAAAAUUCAUGAUGAUUUUUUUUUCAAAGAAAACCUUUCUGGAGUGUUUUUCACGGCCUCCUUUACAUUAUUUCAUCAUAUGACAGGUAUUUACAGCAUGUUCGAAAAAUCUGAUUUUGUUUCGACAUAGUAUAGUAAGGCGUUUUUUUGGCGCCAAAAUUCAUGAUGAUUUUUUUCAAACAAAACCUUUCUGGAGUGUUUUUCACGCCCUCCUUUACAUUAUUUCAUCAUAUGGCACGUUUUUUGAACAUGUUUGAAAAAUCGGAUUUUUUUUCGACAUAGUAUAGUAAGGCGUUUUUUUGCGCCAAAAUUCAUGAUGAUUUUUUUUUCAAAGAAAACCUUUCUGGAGUGUUUUUCACGCCCUCCUUUACAUUAUUUCAUCAUAUGGCAGGUUUUUACAACAUGUUCGAAAAAUCGCAUUUUUUUUUCGACAUAGUAUAGUAAGGCGUUUUUUUUGCGCCAAAAUUCAUGAUGAUUUUUUUUUCAAAGAAAACCUUUCUGGAGUGUUUUUCACGCCCUCCUUUACAUUAUUUCAUCAUAUGGCAGGUUUUUACAACAUGUUCGAAAAAUCGCAUUUUUUUUUCGACAUAGUAUAGUAAGGCGUGUUUUUUGCGACAAAAUUCAUGAUGAUUUUUGUUUCAAAGAAAACCUUUAUGGAGUGUUUCUCAGGCCCUCCUUUACAUUAUUUCAUCAUAUGACAGGUUUUUACAGCAUGUUCGAAAAAUCGCAUUUUUUUUCGACAUAGUAUAGUAAGGCGUUUUUUUUGCGCCAAAAUUCAUGAUGAUUUUUUUUUCAAAGAAAACCUUUCUGGAGUGUUUCUCAGGCCCUCCUUUGCAUUAUUUCAUCAUAUGGCACGUUUUUUGAUUAUAUUUGAAAAAUCGCAUUUUUUUCGAGAUAGUAUAGUAAGGCGUUUUUUUUGCGCCAAAAUUCAUGAUGAUUUUUUUUUCAAAGAAAACGUUUCUGGAGUGUUUUUCACGCCCUCCUUUGCAUUAUUUCAUCAUAUGGCAGGUUUUUACAACAUCUUGGAAAAAAGGCAUUUUUUUUCGACAUAGUAUAGUAAGGCGUUUUUUUUGCGCCAAAAUUCAUGAUGAUUUUUUUUUCAAAGAAAACCUUUCUGGAGUGUUUUUCACGCCCUCCUUUGCAUUAUUUCAUCAUAUGGCACGUUUUUUGAACAUAUUUGAAAAAUCGCAUUUUUUUUCGACAUAGUAGAGUAAGGUGUUUUUUUUGCGCCAAAUUUCAUGAUGAUUUUUUUUCAAAGAAAACCUUUCUGGAGUGUUUUUCACACCCUCCUUUGCAUUAUUUCAUCAUAUGGCAGGUUUUUUGAACAUGUUUGAAAAAUCGCAUUUUUUUGUGACAUAGUAUAGUAAGGCGUUUUUUUUGCGCCAAAAUUCAUGAUGAUUUUUUUUUCAAAGAAAACCUUUCUGGAGUGUUUCUCAGGCUCUCCUUUGCAUUAUUUCAUCAUAUGGCAGGUUUUUACAACAUGUUCGAAAAAUCGCAUUUUUUUUCGACAUAGUAUAGUAAGGCGUUUUUUUUGCGCCAAAAUUCAUGAUGAUUUUUUUUUCAAAGAAAACCUUUCUGGAGUGUUUUUCACGCCCUCCUUUGCAUUAUUUCAUCACAUGGCAGGUUUUUUGAACAUGUUGGAAAAAUCGCAUUUUUUUUCGACAUAGUAGUAAGGCGUUUUUUUUGCGCCAAAAUUCAUAAUGAUUUUUUUUUUCCAAAGAAAACCUUUCUGGAGUGUUUUCUCAUGCCCUCCUUUACAUUAUUUCAUCAUAUGGCAGGUUUUUACAACAUGUUCGAAAAAUCGCAUUUUUUUUCGACAUAGUAUAGUAAGGCGUUUUUUUUGCGCCAAAAUUCAUGAUGAUUUUUUUUUCAAAGAAAACCUUUCUGGAGUGUUUUUCACGCCCUCCUUUACAUUAUUUCAUCAUAUGGCAGGUUUUUUACAACAUGUUCGAAAAAUCGCAUUUUUUUUCGACAUAGUAUAGUAAGGCGUUUUUUUUGCGCCAAAAUUCAUGAUGAUUUUUUUUUCAAAGAAAACCUUUCUGGAGUGUUUUUCACGCCCUCCUUUGCAUUAUUUCAUCAUAUGGCAGG